ACGAACGCUGGCGGCGUGCUUAACACAUGCAAGUCGAACGGUGAAGCGCUUGCCUUUUUGGUGGGUGUGGAUGAGUGGCGAACGGGUGAGUAACACGUGAGUAACCUGCCCUCUUCUUCUGGAUAACCUCAUGAAAGUGGGGCUAAUACGGGGUAUUCCGGGUCUGUCGCAUGGCGGGUUUGGGAAAGAUUGCGCCUUUGGGUGUUUUCGGUGGGGGAUGGGCUCGCGGCCUAUCAGCUUGUUGGUGGGGUGAUGGCCUACCAAGGCGGUGACGGGUAGCCGGCCUGAGAGGGUGGACGGCCACACUGGGACUGAGACACGGCCCAGACUCCUGCGGGAGGCAGCUGUGGGGAAUAUUGCACAAUGGGCGCAAGCCUGAUGCAGCGACGCCGCGUGAGGGAUGGAGGCCUUCGGGUUGGGAACCUCUUUCGCCAGUGAAGCAGGCCUGCUCCUGUGUGGGUGGGUUGACGGUAGCUGGAUAAGAAGCGCCGGCUAACUACGUG
RNAcentral lists this ribosomal RNA (503 nucleotides) under uncultured bacterium. RNAcentral describes it as "partial 16S ribosomal RNA". It matches the Rfam family "Bacterial small subunit ribosomal RNA", at positions 29 to 507 of the family's 1533-position model. The record is from RNAcentral.